UACGUAGGUGACCAGCGUUGUCCGGAUUUACUGGGCGUAAAGAGCGCGUAGGCGGUCGUUCAAGUCGAGUGUGAAAGCCCCCGGCUCAACUGGGGAGGGUCACUCGAUACUGAUCGACUUGAAGGCAGGAGAGGGAAGCGGAAUUCCCGGUGUAGUGGUGAAAUGCGUAGAUAUCGGGAGGAACACCAGUGGCGAAGGCGGCUUCCUGGCCUGUUCUUGACGCUGAGGCGCGAAAGCUAGGGGAGCAAACGGG
This 253-nucleotide ribosomal RNA is filed under the name uncultured bacterium. RNAcentral describes it as "partial 16S ribosomal RNA". It matches the Rfam family "Bacterial small subunit ribosomal RNA", at positions 524 to 776 of the family's 1533-position model. The record is from RNAcentral.